Molecule: unclassified non-coding RNA, 253 nt
Filed under: uncultured Sphingomonadaceae bacterium
Lineage: Bacteria; Pseudomonadati; Pseudomonadota; Alphaproteobacteria; Sphingomonadales; Sphingomonadaceae
Description: contains 16S-23S intergenic spacer region
Rfam family: Bacterial small subunit ribosomal RNA
Source: RNAcentral
UACGGAGGGAGCUAGCGUUGUUCGGAAAUACUGGGCGUAAAGCGAACGUAGGCGGCAUAGCAAGUCAGAGGUGAAAUCCCAGGGCUCAACCCUGGAACUGCCUUUGAAACUGCUAAGCUAGAAUCCUGGAGAGGCGAGUGGAAUUCCGAGUGUAGAGGUGAAAUUCGUAGAUAUUCGGAAGAACACCAGUGGCGAAGGCGACUCGCUGGACAGGUAUUGACGCUGAGGUUCGAAAGCGUGGGGAGCAAACAGG